CACGUAGGGCGCAAGCGUUGUCCGGAAUUAUUGGGCGUAAAGAGCUCGUAGGCGGUCUGUUGCGUCCGCUGUGAAAACUCGGGGCUUAACCCCGAGCCUGCAGUGGAUACGGGCAGACUAGAGGUAGGUAGGGGAGAAUGGAAUUCCCGGUGUAGCGGUGAAAUGCGCAGAUAUCGGGAGGAACACCGGUGGCGAAGGCGGUUCUCUGGAACGGUACUGACGCUGAGACGCGAAAGCGUGGGGAGCGAACAGG
This 253-nucleotide ribosomal RNA is filed under the name uncultured bacterium. RNAcentral describes it as "partial 16S ribosomal RNA". It matches the Rfam family "Bacterial small subunit ribosomal RNA", at positions 524 to 776 of the family's 1533-position model. The record is from RNAcentral.